This 30-nucleotide non-coding RNA is filed under the name Mus musculus (house mouse). Lineage: Eukaryota; Metazoa; Chordata; Mammalia; Rodentia; Muridae. The record is from RNAcentral.
AACACACUUGCGCUUAUGCUGAGCACCCGG